RNAcentral lists this ribosomal RNA (1282 nucleotides) under Pholiota lundbergii. Its description in RNAcentral is "eukaryotic LSU rRNA". The stretch from base 317 to 1282 matches the Rfam family "Eukaryotic large subunit ribosomal RNA", at positions 1 to 952 of the family's 3401-position model. Lineage: Eukaryota; Fungi; Basidiomycota; Agaricomycetes; Agaricales; Strophariaceae. The record is from RNAcentral.
AAUGCGAUAAGUAAUGUGAAUUGCAGAAUUCAGUGAAUCAUCGAAUCUUUGAACGCACCUUGCGCUCCUUGGUAUUCCGAGGAGCAUGCCUGUUUGAGUGUCAUUAAAUUCUCAACCUUAUCAGCUUUUGUUGAUAAUGGCUUGGAUGUGGGGGUUUAUUGCUGGCUUCUAAUGAGGUUGGCUCCCCUUAAAUACAUUAGCUGGUUGCCUUGUGCAGACUUGUCUAUUGGUGUGAUAAUUAUCUACGCUGUGGACUUUCUGCCAGUAUAUAGCAUCGCUUCUAACUGUCUAUUAACUUGGACAACAUAUGACAAUUUGACCUCAAAUCAGGUAGGACUACCCGCUGAACUUAAGCAUAUCAAUAAGCGGAGGAAAAGAAACUAACAAGGAUUCCCCUAGUAACUGCGAGUGAAGCGGGAAAAGCUCAAAUUUAAAAUCUGGCGGUCUUUGGCUGUCCGAGUUGUAAUCUAGAGAAGUGUUAUCCGCGCUGGACCGUGUACAAGUCUCCUGGAAUGGAGCGUCAUAGAGGGUGAGAAUCCCGUCUUUGACACGGACUGCCAGGGCUUUGUGAUGCGCUCUCAAAGAGUCGAGUUGUUUGGGAAUGCAGCUCAAAAUGGGUGGUAAAUUCCAUCUAAAGCUAAAUAUUGGCGAGAGACCGAUAGCGAACAAGUACCGUGAGGGAAAGAUGAAAAGAACUUUGGAAAGAGAGUUAAACAGUACGUGAAAUUGCUGAAAGGGAAACGCUUGAAGUCAGUCGCGUUGUCUGGGGAUCAACCUUGCUUUUGCUGGGCGUACUUUCCAGAUGAUGGGUCAGCAUCAAUUUUGACCGUUGGAUAAAGUCUGGAGGAAUGUGGCAUCUUCGGAUGUGUUAUAGCCUCUAGUUGCAUACAACGGUUGGGAUUGAGGAACUCAGCACGCCGCAAGGCCGGGUACUUGUACCACGUUCGUGCUUAGGAUGCUGGCAUAAUGGCUUUAAUCGACCCGUCUUGAAACACGGACCAAGGAGUCUAACAUGCCUGCGAGUAUUUGGGUGGAAAACCCGAGUGCGUAAUGAAAGUGAAAGUUGAGAUCCUUGUCAUGGGGAGCAUCGACGCCCGGACCAGACCUUUUGUGACGGAUCUGCGGUAGAGCAUGUAUGUUGGGACCCGAAAGAUGGUGAACUAUGCCUGAAUAGGGUGAAGCCAGAGGAAACUCUGGUGGAGGCUCGUAGCGAUUCUGACGUGCAAAUCGAUCGUCAAAUUUGGGUAUAGGGGCGAAAGACUAAUCGAACCAUCUAGUAGCU